This 429-nucleotide ribosomal RNA is filed under the name Actinomycetes bacterium. Its description in RNAcentral is "Actinobacteria bacterium partial 16S ribosomal RNA". It matches the Rfam family "Bacterial small subunit ribosomal RNA", at positions 355 to 776 of the family's 1533-position model. Lineage: Bacteria; Bacillati; Actinomycetota; Actinomycetes. The record is from RNAcentral.
UAGGGAAUCUUCCGCAAUGGGCGAAAGCCUGACGGAGCAACGCCGCGUGAGUGAUGAAGGUCUUCGGAUCGUAAAACUCUGUUAUUAGGGAAGAACAAAUGUGUAAGUAACUAUGCACGUCUUGACGGUACCUAAUCAGAAAGCCACGGCUAACUACGUGCCAGCAGCCGCGGUAAUACGUAGGUGGCAAGCGUUAUCCGGCAUUAUUGGGCGUAAAGCGCGCGUCGGCGGUUUUUUAAGUCUGAUGUGAAAGCCCACGGCUCAACCGUGGAGGGUAAGUGGAAACUGGAAAACUUGAGUGCAGAAGAGGAAAGAGGAAUUCCAUGUGUAGCGGUGAAAUGCGCAGAGAUAUGGAGGAACACCAGUGGCGAAGGCGACUUUCUGGUCUGUAACUGACGCUGAUGUGCGAAAGCGUGGGGAUCAAACAGG